GACGAACGCUGGCGGCGUGCUUAACACAUGCAAGUCCGAGCGGUAAGGCCCUUUCGGGGGUACACGAGCGGCGAACGGGUGAGUAACACGUGGGUGACCUGCCCUCAGCUCUGGGAUAAGCCUGGGAAACUGGGUCGUAAUACUGGAUAUGACUCCACGGUGCAUGGUCGUGGGGUGGAAAGCCUUGUGCGGCUGUAGGAUGGGCCCGCGGCCUAUCAGCUUGUUGGUGGGGUGANGGCCUACCAAGGCGACGACGGGUAGCCGGCCUGAGAGGGCGACCGGCCACACUGGGACUGAGACACGGCCCAGACU
This 312-nucleotide ribosomal RNA is filed under the name uncultured bacterium. RNAcentral's name for it is "bacterial SSU rRNA". It matches the Rfam family "Bacterial small subunit ribosomal RNA", at positions 28 to 337 of the family's 1533-position model. The record is from RNAcentral.